GAUGAACGCUGGCGGCGUGCUUAACACAUGCAAGUCGAACGAAGCAAUUGCGACAGAAGCCUUCGGGUGGAAGAUGUAGAAGAUGUAAUUGACUGAGUGGCGGACGGGUGAGUAACGCGUGGGUAACCUGCCUUGUACAGGGGGAUAACAGUUAGAAAUGACUGCUAAUACCGCAUAAGCGCACAGUACCGCAUGGUACAGUGUGAAAAACUCCGGUGGUACAAGAUGGACCCGCGUCUGAUUAGCUAGUUGGUAAGGUAACGGCUUACCAAGGCGACGAUCAGUAGCCGACUUGAGAGAGUGAUCGGCCACAUUGGGACUGAGACACGGCCCAAACUCCUACGGGAGGCAGCAGUGGGGAAUAUUGCACAAUGGGGGAAACCCUGAUGCAGCGACGCCGCGUGAGUGAAGAAGUAUUUCGGUAUGUAAAGCUCUAUCAGCAAGGAAGAUAAUGACGGUACUUGACUAAGAAGCCCCGGCUAACUACGUGCCAGCAGCCGCGGCAAUACGUAGGGGGCAAGCGUUAUCCGGAUUUACUGGGUGUAAAGGGAGCGUAGACGGUAUGGUAAGUCAGAUGUGAAAGCCCGGGGCUUAACCCCGGAACUGCAUUUGAAACUAUCAAACUAGAGUGUCGGAGAGGUAAGUGGAAUUCCUAGUGUAGCGGUGAAAUGCGUAGAUAUUAGGAGGAACACCAGUGGCGAAGGCGGCUUACUGGACGAUAACUGACGUUGAGGCU
RNAcentral lists this ribosomal RNA (736 nucleotides) under uncultured bacterium. RNAcentral describes it as "bacterial SSU rRNA". It matches the Rfam family "Bacterial small subunit ribosomal RNA", at positions 28 to 753 of the family's 1533-position model. The record is from RNAcentral.